GCACGUGUGGCGGAAUGGUAGACGCGCCAGCUUGAGGUGCUGGUUCCCCGAACGGGGAGUGUCGGUUCAAGUCCGACCAUGUGCA
RNAcentral lists this transfer RNA (85 nucleotides) under Microbacterium sp. 77mftsu3.1. RNAcentral describes it as "tRNA_Leu_GAG". It matches the Rfam family "tRNA". From Rfam's summary of the family: Transfer RNA (tRNA) molecules are approximately 80 nucleotides in length. Their secondary structure includes four short double-helical elements and three loops (D, anti-codon, and T loops). Further hydrogen bonds mediate the characteristic L-shaped molecular structure. tRNAs have two regions of fundamental functional importance: the anti-codon, which is responsible for specific mRNA codon recognition, and the 3' end, to which the tRNAs corresponding amino acid is attached (by aminoacyl-tRNA synthetases). tRNAs cope with the degeneracy of the genetic code in two manners: having more than one tRNA (with a specific anti-codon) for a particular amino acid; and 'wobble' base-pairing, i.e. permitting non-standard base-pairing at the 3rd anti-codon position. The record is from RNAcentral. Lineage: Bacteria; Bacillati; Actinomycetota; Actinomycetes; Micrococcales; Microbacteriaceae.